Molecule: ribosomal RNA, 446 nt
Filed under: uncultured bacterium
Lineage: Bacteria
Description: bacterial SSU rRNA
Rfam family: Bacterial small subunit ribosomal RNA
Source: RNAcentral
ACUCCUACGGGAGGCAGCAGUGGGGAAUAUUGCACAAUGGGCGCAAGCCUGAUGCAGCAACGCCGUGUGAGUGAAGAAGGUUUUCGGAUCGUAAACUCUGUCCUAAGGGAAGAAACAAAUGACGGUACCUUAGGAGGAAGCCCCGGCUAACUACGUGCCAGCAGCCGCGGUAAUACGUAGGGGGCAAGCGUUUAUCCGGAAUCACUGGGCGUAAAGGGUGCGUAGGCGGCUUAGCAAGCCAGGGUGAAAGGCAUUGGCUCAACCAAUGUAAGCCUUUGGAACUGUUAAGCUUGAGUGCAGGAGAGGUAAAGUGGAAUUCCUAGUGUAGAGGUGAAAUUCGUAGAUAUUAGGAGGAACACCAGUGGCGAAGGCGACUUACUGGACUGUAACUGACGCUGAUGCACGAAAAGCGUGGGUAGCGAACAGGAUUAGAUACCUGGUAGACU